Molecule: long non-coding RNA, 1606 nt
Filed under: Oryctolagus cuniculus (rabbit)
Lineage: Eukaryota; Metazoa; Chordata; Mammalia; Lagomorpha; Leporidae
Description: lncRNA (ENSOCUG00000038632.1)
Source: RNAcentral
AACGUUGUGCGCAGUUUUGGCACAUGUGAGCGCCCACGUGGGCAGGCCCGCACCGUGGGCCUAGAUGAGUGUCUCCAGAGCGCCCUCCCCCCCCCCCCGCCCUGGUCAGGCCCAGGUGGCCGCUGGCUUCCCCGGGGCUCCUCCUCAGCAGAGCCAGAGGCGCACCUCUGUGGGUUUCCACUCCGUGGAUGCUGCUGUCCGUCCACCGUGGGAAUCCGUGGCUCCAUCUUGUUAUGGCCAAGUGGGCCUUCCCUGAGUGGCUGUAGUCCGGUUUCUUUUCACUCUUCUCGGUGGACAUUGGAGUGUUUCGAGUUGUGGGCUGUUCUGAAUGAGGCUGGCGGGGACACAGGACGCCGGCAUUCGUGUGGACGCUGCCUUCGCCCUCCUUGGGGAUAUCUGGAGGUGGGAUCGCUUUCCGACCAGGUAGAACCUCUGCUCAUCACAGCGCACAUUGAAGAGGUUUGCAGCACCAUUCACAGGGAGCACCUGGUGCUGUCUGCUGGCCUUGACCAGGCUCUGUUCCGUCCAGCGAUCCCUUGCCUGUGGCUGGACAUGGCAGCUUUAAGGACACAGGCCGAGGACGUGUGUGGGCAAGGCCUCAUCACAGCUCCAUUCCUGCCAAAGAUGCUGAGGCCGGGGACCCCGCGGAGGUGCCUGCUGGCCUCCUGCAGCCGGCGGAAGGGACUCCGAGCGUGUGCGCCCGUUGGAGUCAGGACAGCCUAAUUGAAGGCCCGUCUCCGUCCAGACUCCAGGAAUUACAGCCCAGCGCCGGCACUUUCAUUUCUGAGCUCCUGUUCCGUAAUUAGAGCUUGAGGAAAUGGCACACCGUACGCGGGAGUGAGUCUGCCUGCAGCCGGGACAGUCAUCCUGGAAGGAGGAGGUCCAGAGCUCAGACGCGGAGGCACAGUGCGGGCCAGAGCGCGUGCCUGCAGGGCGGAGGGUGGCUCCUCUCUGGGAACUGGUUGCACUGCCCCGAGCACCUGCAGCUGCUGCUGGCUCACGCAGGCCCUGUAUAGAGGGACCACCAGGAGCCACGGGAAGAAGUCCUCGCGGGGUUGUGGAGGGACGCGGUGUGGUCAGAGCAGAGGACUGGUCGACGCCCACCCGGGCAGGCCCCUCUGCUGUGUCCCUUCCUUCCCCUCCCUCUGCCUGUCUUCCGCGCACUGCUCCCAGUGCCCUCAGCCCCAAGCCCUGUGGACUAGAGGCAGAGCUGGCCCAGCCACUGCUGAGGCAGAAGGACCGUGACCUGGGGACUGGGCUGACGUAAAAGUCCCUGAAAAUUCACUGCAGAUGGGUCCUGUGCUGCAGCAGGUUACGCCGGUGCUCAGGAUGCCCACAUCACAUGUGGGGGUGACUGUUCAAGCCCCAGCUGCUCCACUUCCAGUCCGGCUCCUGCUCCGUGGACGAUGGCCCAAGGACUGAGGUCCCUGCCACCCAUUUGUGAGACCCAGAUGGGGUCCUGGCUCCUGGCUUUGGCUUGGCCCAGCCCCGGCUGCUGCACAUUUGGGGAAUGAACCUGUAGAUGGAAGAUGGGUCUCCCCCCCCCCCACCUCCUUCUCCCUCCCCCACCCCCUCUACCUUUCAAAUAAAUUUUUAAAUUAAUUCA